RNAcentral lists this ribosomal RNA (322 nucleotides) under uncultured Sandona. RNAcentral describes it as "SSU rRNA". The stretch from base 62 to 322 matches the Rfam family "Eukaryotic small subunit ribosomal RNA", at positions 694 to 955 of the family's 1831-position model. The record is from RNAcentral. Lineage: Eukaryota; Cercozoa; Glissomonadida.
GAUUUCUGGCUUGAAACAUUUUGCCAGCCACGGUUUCGUGUGUUAGUGCUUGAUGUUCUGGCCAUCCUUCCAAUCGCUAUUGGCUUUUCUUCAUUGAGAGGUCAGUGGUAUUGGAUCUUUUACUUUGAAAAAAUUAGAGUGUUUCAAGCAGGCUUUAUGCUAUGAAUACAUUAGCAUGGAAUAAUAAUUUAGGACUUCGGUUCUAUUUUGUUGGUUUCUAGGACUGAAGUAAUGAUUGAUAGGGACAGUUGGGGGUGCUAGUAUUCAGCGGCCAGAGGUGAAAUUCUUGGAUUCGUUGAAGACUAACUUAUGCGAAAGCAUU